CAAUAGCGUAUAUUAAAGUUGUUGCGGUUAAAAAGCUCGUAGUUGGAUUUCUGCCGAGGACGACCGGUCCGCCCUCUGGGUGAGUAUCUGGCUCGGCCUGGGCAUCUUCUUGGAGAACGUAGCUGCACUUGACUGUGUGGUGCGGUAUCCAGGACUUUUACUUUGAGGAAAUUAGAGUGUUUCAAGCAGGCUUACGCCUUGAAUACAUUAGCAUGGAAUAAUAAGAUAGGACCACGGUGCUAUUUUGUUGGUUGCGGCCCGAGGUAAUGAUUAAUAGGGAUAGUUGGGGGUACUCAUAUUCAACUGUCAGAGGUGAAAUUCUUGGAUUUGUUGAAGAUGAACAACUGCGAAAGCAUUUACCAAGGAUGUUUUCAUUA
RNAcentral lists this ribosomal RNA (377 nucleotides) under uncultured eukaryote. RNAcentral's name for it is "partial 18S ribosomal RNA". It matches the Rfam family "Eukaryotic small subunit ribosomal RNA", at positions 592 to 975 of the family's 1831-position model. The record is from RNAcentral.